GUUUCAGGGAAAGUGGAAGAUGUUGUGGAGACGUUGCUUCAGCUUCACAGAGCAUCCUGCCUUGACAAACUAGGGGACCAAACUGCUAUGAUAACAGCUAUUUUGCAGUCACGCUUGGCGAGAACAUCAUUUGACAAGAACAGGUAAGUGUUUAAUGAUUUUGCUUACUGGUUAUAAAAGCAAUGGACAUCUUCAUCUGUUUGCCUCGCUCAGCAUGGCCACACUGAUGCUGUCAUCCUCCUCACCCCUCACCUGCUUAUCCGAGGGAAUGGCCCCACCUCAGUGCAGGGGCCGGGUCAGGGGCUUCCUCCACUCUCUCCAUCCUGGCACCUGUCAGUCAGAAAGGCCAGUAGGUGAGGCUCUCUAACAUCCUUCCUGUCUGUCAGCUUGCCUUUUCCCACUGUUAUUGCCUCAGUCCAGGCUACCAUCACCUCCAACUCCAAACACUGUGACAGCUUCUAGCCUGUCUGCCUGACACCAGUCUUCCCUUCUCCAAUCCCCUUUUCCCCACGGUAACUAUUGUACUUUUAAAAUAUGUUC
Long non-coding RNA from Myotis brandtii (Brandt's bat), 540 nucleotides. RefSeq lists it as uncharacterized. The record is from RefSeq and is a predicted model, not a curated record. NCBI's taxonomy places the organism in Eukaryota, Metazoa, Chordata, Mammalia, Chiroptera, Vespertilionidae. The transcript has 3 exons.